UAGCUGCUCCUCUGGGACUGGGGUGAUGCCCAGGGUGGUUGAUGACACCACAAAGGAUGAUGACCCCUGUGCCAGGUCUCUAGGGUGAUGAUGGUUUGGAGAGAGGCUGUGAUUAUAGACAGGCUAAUGGGAAACGGUUAAUAAGAUGAUGACCUCACAAUCCCAAAUCAUGACACAUUAAAGGAGGACCAUCAUGAAAAACAGGUUGUCAUCAACAGUAUUUGCUGUAGCCAUGAUCAAGCUUCAUGCAUGUGCAUUUUUUAUUAUGCUAAGAAGUACCAUGAUUUUCUUCAGAGUCCUGUGAACAGAUUUGGGUGUGGCUUUUCCAACAAGGACCAUAACAGGAGUGAAGAACAUCCCUCCAGCUAA
Molecule: long non-coding RNA, 369 nt
Filed under: Capra hircus (goat)
Lineage: Eukaryota; Metazoa; Chordata; Mammalia; Artiodactyla; Bovidae
Description: lncRNA (ENSCHIG00000007115.1)
Source: RNAcentral